RNAcentral lists this ribosomal RNA (253 nucleotides) under uncultured bacterium. RNAcentral describes it as "partial 16S ribosomal RNA". It matches the Rfam family "Bacterial small subunit ribosomal RNA", at positions 524 to 776 of the family's 1533-position model. The record is from RNAcentral.
UACGUAGGUGGCAAGCGUUGUCCGGAUUUACUGGGCGUAAAGCGUGCGCAGGCGGACUUUUAAGUAGGAAGUGAAAGGUUGGAGCUCAACUCCAACACUGCUCCCUAUACUGGAAGUCUUGAGUAGCGGAGAGGAAGAUGGAACGACACGUGUAGCGGUGAAAUGCGUUGAUAUGUGUCGGAACACCAAUGGCGAAGGCAGUCUUCUGGACGCAAACUGACGCUCAUGCACGAAAGCUAAGGUAGCAAACAGG